This 398-nucleotide ribosomal RNA is filed under the name uncultured bacterium. RNAcentral describes it as "bacterial SSU rRNA". It matches the Rfam family "Bacterial small subunit ribosomal RNA", at positions 29 to 455 of the family's 1533-position model. The record is from RNAcentral.
AACGAACGCUGGCGGCAUGCCUAACACAUGCAAGUCGAACGAACCCUUCGGGUGAGUGGCGCACGGGUGCGUAACGCGUGGGAACCUGCCCUUAGGUUCGGAAUAACAGUGAGAAAUCGCUGCUAAUACCGGAUAAUGUCUUCGGACCAAAGAUUUAUCGCCUUUUGGAUGGGGCCCGCGUUGGAUUAGCCAGUUGGUGGGGUAAAGGCUCACCAAGGCGACGAUCCAUAACUGGUCUUAGAGGAUGAUCAGCCACACUGGGACUGAGGCACGGCCCAGACUCCUACGGGAGGCAGCAGUGGGGAAUAUUGGACAAUGGGCUAAAGCCUGAUCCAGCAAUGCCGCGUGAGUGAUGAAGGCCUUAGGGUGUAAGCNCUUUUACCAGGGAUGAUGAUGAC